UACGGGGGGAGCAAGCGUUGUUCGGAUUUACUGGGCGUAAAGGGCGCGUAGGCGGCCAGCACAAGUCAGUUGUGAAAUCUCCGAGCUUAACUCGGAAAGGUCAACUGAUACUGUGCGGCUAGAGUGCGGAAGGGGCAACUGGAAUUCUCGGUGUAGCGGUGAAAUGCGUAGAUAUCGAGAGGAACACCUGCGGCGAAGGCGGGUAGCUGGGCCGACACUGACGCUGAGGCGCGAAAGCCAGGGGAGCGAACGGG
Molecule: ribosomal RNA, 254 nt
Filed under: uncultured bacterium
Lineage: Bacteria
Description: partial 16S ribosomal RNA
Rfam family: Bacterial small subunit ribosomal RNA
Source: RNAcentral